RNAcentral lists this ribosomal RNA (433 nucleotides) under uncultured bacterium. RNAcentral's name for it is "partial 16S ribosomal RNA". It matches the Rfam family "Bacterial small subunit ribosomal RNA", at positions 29 to 507 of the family's 1533-position model. The record is from RNAcentral.
AACGAACGCUGGCGGCAUGCCUAACACAUGCAAGUCGAACGAGACCUUCGGGUCUAGUGGCGCACGGGUGCGUAACGCGUGGGAACCUGCCCUUAGGUUCGGAAUAACUCCCCGAAAGGGGUGCUAAUACCGGAUAAUGUCUUCGGACCAAAGAUUUAUCGCCCUUGGAUGGGCCCGCGUUGGAUUAGCUAGUUGGUAGGGUAAAAGCCUACCAAGGCGACGAUCCAUAGCUGGUCUGAGAGGAUGAGCAGCCACACUGGGACUGAGACACGGCCCAGACUCCUACGGGAGGCAGCAGUGGGGAAUAUUGGACAAUGGGCGAAAGCCUGAUCCAGCAAUGCCGCGUGAGUGAUGAAGGCCUUAGGGUUGUAAAGCUCUUUUACCCGGGAUGAUAAUGACAGUACCGGGAGAAUAAGCUCCGGCUAACUCCGUG